CCUCUGUAGUCCAAGAGGUGCCCCUGGUUGUUGGUACCCUGGGCAUACCAGGCUUGCAGAGAGAGCAGCAGCAGGAGGAAGCCGAGGCAGGGCUGCCAGAGCGCGGCAGCGACAUGCGCAAUAUUCCUCCAACAGAUGCCACUCUGUUGCCACGGAGAUAAUGACUUUUCCCGUGUCAUUAUUGAUCUACCAACAGUAAGAGCAAUUUUGCAGUUUGAUAUUGUUUAGCAAAUAGAGUAAAGUCUGCUGAACACUGAAGAAACUGCUAUAAAA
This 273-nucleotide small nucleolar RNA is filed under the name Zosterops lateralis melanops. The record is from RNAcentral. Lineage: Eukaryota; Metazoa; Chordata; Aves; Passeriformes; Zosteropidae.